AACGAACGCUGGCGGCAGGCUUAACACAUGCAAGUCGAACGCCCCGCAAGGGGAGUGGCAGACGGGUGAGUAACGCGUGGGAAUCUACCCAGAUCUUCGGAACAACUGAGGGAAACUUCAGCUAAUACCGGAUACGCCCUACGGGGGAAAGAUUUAUCGGUUCUGGAUGAGCCCGCGUUGGAUUAGCUAGUUGGUGAGGUAAAGGCUCACCAAGGCGACGAUCCAUAGCUGGUCUGAGAGGAUGAUCAGCCACACUGGGACUGAGACACGGCCCAGACUCCUACGGGAGGCAGCAGUGGGGAAUAUUGGACAAUGGGCGAAAGCCUGAUCCAGCCAUGCCGCGUGAGUGAUGAAGGCCUUAGGGUUGUAAAGCUCUUUCAGUGGGGAAGAUAAUGACGGUACCCACAGAAGAAGCCCCGGCUAACUUCGUGCCAGCCGCCGCGGUAA
This 447-nucleotide ribosomal RNA is filed under the name uncultured bacterium. RNAcentral describes it as "partial 16S ribosomal RNA". It matches the Rfam family "Bacterial small subunit ribosomal RNA", at positions 29 to 523 of the family's 1533-position model. The record is from RNAcentral.